Molecule: ribosomal RNA, 449 nt
Filed under: uncultured bacterium
Lineage: Bacteria
Description: partial 16S ribosomal RNA
Rfam family: Bacterial small subunit ribosomal RNA
Source: RNAcentral
AACGAACGCUGGCGGCAGGCUUAACACAUGCAAGUCGAGCGCCGUAGCAAUACGGAGCGGCAGACGGGUGAGUAACGCGUGGGAAUCUACCCAUCACUACGGAACAACUCCGGGAAACUGGAGCUAAUACCGUAUACGUCCUUCGGGAGAAAGAUUUAUCGGUGAUGGAUGAGCCCGCGUUGGAUUAGCUAGUUGGUGGGGUAAUGGCCCACCAAGGCGACGAUCCAUAGCUGGUCUGAGAGGAUGAUCAGCCACACUGGGACUGAGACACGGCCCAGACUCCUACGGGAGGCAGCAGUGGGGAAUAUUGGACAAUGGGCGCAAGCCUGAUCCAGCCAUGCCGCGUGAGUGAUGAAGGCCCUAGGGUUGUAAAGCUCUUUCACCGGUGAAGAUAAUGACGGUAACCGGAGAAGAAGCCCCGGCUAACUUCGUGCCAGCAGCCGCCGUAA